Long non-coding RNA from Melanotaenia boesemani (Boeseman's rainbowfish), 663 nucleotides. RefSeq lists it as uncharacterized. The record is from RefSeq and is a predicted model, not a curated record. The transcript is spliced from 2 exons. Lineage: Eukaryota; Metazoa; Chordata; Actinopteri; Atheriniformes; Melanotaeniidae.
GCCAUAGCCCUCCUCCUCCACAAGACCCUUUCCCAUGUGGACACUGAUGGGUCCACAGCUUCCUGACCGGACGACCACAGGUGGUUAGGCUGGGUCACCACUCCUCAUCUCCCCUCACCCUCAACACAGGAUCCCCCCAGGGCUGUGUGCUCAGCCCCCUGCUGUACUCACUGUACACUCAUGACUGUGAGGCCACUUCAGACUCAAAUGUCAUCAUAAAGUUUGCUGACGACACAGCCGUUGUAGGACUGAUCUCCCACAACAACGAGACUGCCUACAGGAGGGAGGUCUCCCACCUGGAGGUCUGGUGCCAGGAGAACCAUCUCCUGUUAAAUGUCAGCAAAACAAAAGAGCUGAUAGUGGACAUCUGGAAACAGCCGAGGAGCCUCCAUCCACUCCUCAUCAGUGGUUCUGAGGUGGAACGUGUGGACACUUUCAGGUACCUGGGAGUGACCAUAUCACAAGACCUGACCUGGACUCAGCACAUCACAACAACUGUGAAGAAGGCCAGACAGCGUCUGUUCCUCCUCAGACGACUGAGAGACUUUAAGCUCCCUCUCAGGGAGCUCAAGAACUUUUACACCUGCACCAUUGAGAGCAUCCUGUGUGGGAGCAUCACCACGUGGAUGGGGAACUGCACAAAGCAGGACCUCUUGGCCCUAA